Molecule: ribosomal RNA, 498 nt
Filed under: uncultured bacterium
Lineage: Bacteria
Description: partial 16S ribosomal RNA
Rfam family: Bacterial small subunit ribosomal RNA
Source: RNAcentral
GACGAACGCUGGCGGCGUGCCUAAUACAUGCAAGUCGAGCGAAGUUUUUCUGGUGCUUGCACUAGAAAAACUUAGCGGCGAACGGGUGAGUAACACGUAAAGAACCUGCCUCAUAGACUGGGACAACUAUUGGAAACGAUAGCUAAUACCGGAUAACAGUAUUUCUCGCAUGAGAGAUAUUUAAAAGUUGGUUAUGCUAACACUAUGAGAUGGCUUUGCGGUGCAUUAGCUAGUUGGUGGGGUAAAGGCCCACCAAGGCGACGAUGCAUAGCCGACCUGAGAGGGGGAUCGGCCACACUGGGACUGAGACACGGCCCAGACUCCGACGGGAGGCAGCAGUAGGGAAUCUUCCGCAAUGGGCGAAACCCUGACGGAGCAACGCCGCGGGAGUGAAGAAGGAUUUCGGUUCGUAAAGCUCUGUUGUUAGGGAAGAAUGGAUAUGUAGUAACUAUACAUGUAAGAGACGGUACCUAACCAGAAAACCACGGCGAACUACGG